Rhea pennata is the source of this 906-nucleotide long non-coding RNA. RefSeq lists it as uncharacterized. The record is from RefSeq and is a predicted model, not a curated record. The transcript is spliced from 3 exons. Lineage: Eukaryota; Metazoa; Chordata; Aves; Rheiformes; Rheidae.
UUGACUUCACAUAUUGAAGAAUAUGAGGAACAACCGAGAGAGCUGGGCCUGUUUAGUCUGGAGAAGGGAAGACUGAGAGAGGAUCUUACCAAUGUGUAAAAGUAUCUGAAGGGAGGGUGUCCAGGGGACGGGGACAAACUCUUUUCAGUUGUCCCGUGUGACAGGACAAGAGGCAAUGGGCAGAAAUUGAAGCACAGCAAGUUCCAUCUGAACGUGAGGGGGAAUUUCUUCACUGGGAGAGUGACAGAGCACUGGCACAGGUUGCCCAGAGAGGCUGUGGAGUCUCCUUCUCUGGAGAUAUUCAAAGCUCGCCUGAAUGCAACCCUGUCUAACAGGCUCUAGGUGACCCUGCUUGAGCAGGGGGAGGUUGGACUAGAUGAUCUCCAGAGGUCCCUUCCAACCUUACCCAUUCUGUGAUUCUAGGGUGGAGAAUAGAUGCAUGGCUUCUGCAAGUAUCAGGAUGUACUCAUGGUCUCCAUGGAUUACCUCCUCAUACUUUGAAGUUGUUAAAUCAUUUUAGCUGAAACUUAAAAGGAGAAAAAAGAAAGAUUCAGCGUGAGGCAAGCAAACAGAUAAUGCCUGCCAACUAUGAACAUCCAAAAUCAAGCUCUUAUAUUAUUUGCAGCUGUUGGAUUCGCUCCCGGCUCUACUAGUACUAAGUGCUGGUACAGGACAGACUGGAACUAGGUUUCAGUUUUUUUUCUUCUGAGGCUGUCUGGGACUGUUAGUCCAAAGUGUAGGCUAGAGGAGCCACUGGAUGAAAUAUUGCACCAGACUCUUAAGAUACAACACCUAGGUCAAAGAAUAACCAGGAACAGCUGUUACUCCUGGUAGAGAAGAAAUAAAGUUGACAUUCCCCAUUGUAUAAAAGGAGCCAUUAGGGUUACACAGACAUAAAAAUUAAAU